This 74-nucleotide transfer RNA is filed under the name bacterium. RNAcentral's name for it is "tRNA-Arg". It matches the Rfam family "tRNA". From Rfam's summary of the family: Transfer RNA (tRNA) molecules are approximately 80 nucleotides in length. Their secondary structure includes four short double-helical elements and three loops (D, anti-codon, and T loops). Further hydrogen bonds mediate the characteristic L-shaped molecular structure. tRNAs have two regions of fundamental functional importance: the anti-codon, which is responsible for specific mRNA codon recognition, and the 3' end, to which the tRNAs corresponding amino acid is attached (by aminoacyl-tRNA synthetases). tRNAs cope with the degeneracy of the genetic code in two manners: having more than one tRNA (with a specific anti-codon) for a particular amino acid; and 'wobble' base-pairing, i.e. permitting non-standard base-pairing at the 3rd anti-codon position. The record is from RNAcentral. RNAcentral also lists the same sequence under 6 other names.
GCGCCCAUAGCUCAGAUGGAUAGAGCGCUUCCCUGCGGAGGAAGAGGCCGGAGGUUCAACUCCUCCUGGGCGCG